Molecule: ribosomal RNA, 301 nt
Filed under: uncultured bacterium
Lineage: Bacteria
Description: partial 16S ribosomal RNA
Rfam family: Bacterial small subunit ribosomal RNA
Source: RNAcentral
CAGUCGCCGCGGUAAUACGUAGGUGGCAAGCGUUGUCCGGAAUUAUUGGGCGUAAAGGGCUCGCAGGCGGUUUCUUAAGUCUGAUGUGAAAGCCCCCGGCUCAACCGGGGAGGGUCAUUGGAAACUGGGAAACUUGAGUGCAGAAGAGGAGAGUGGAAUUCCACGUGUAGCGGUGAAAUGCGUGGAGAUGUGGAGGAACACCAGUGGCGAAGGCGACUCUCUGGUCUGUAACUGACGCUGAGGAGCGAAAGCGUGGGGAGCGAACAGGAUUAGAUACCCGAGUAGUCCCUGUCUCUUAUAA